This 22-nucleotide non-coding RNA is filed under the name Arabidopsis thaliana (thale cress). Lineage: Eukaryota; Viridiplantae; Streptophyta; Magnoliopsida; Brassicales; Brassicaceae. The record is from RNAcentral.
UUGUGUGCUCUACUCGAUCUAC